AAAAAAAUUAAUUGAUUUUUAAGAAAUUCCAAGAAAUGUUUCCCUGACUUUUAUUCAAAGAGAGGAAAGUGCAGAGAUUGCUCCUUAGGAUACUUUGGACCUAACUGUUCUCACCCCUGUCCCUAUCCAAAGUUUGGACAUCGAUGCCUUGACGGAGACUGUAACUGCUCCAUAGACGAGUGUGAUAUUUCUUAUGGCUGUAAUUCUCCAGACUCUAAUGGGAUACCAACGACUGCUUCAAGAAAUGCAUCUAUCGGAAUCUCACAAAAUAUAAAGUCAUCAAGACUUCCUGGAAUAACAAUCAUCACAUAUACUACUGGUUCAUUGCUUUUGUUU
Long non-coding RNA from Saccostrea cuccullata (small rock oyster), 336 nucleotides. RefSeq lists it as uncharacterized. NCBI's taxonomy places the organism in Eukaryota, Metazoa, Mollusca, Bivalvia, Ostreida, Ostreidae. The transcript has 3 exons. The record is from RefSeq and is a predicted model, not a curated record.